AUUGAACGCUGGCGGCAUGCCUUACACAUGCAAGUCGAACGGUAACAGGUUAAGCUGACGAGUGGCGAACGGGUGAGUAAUGUAUCGGAACGUGCCCAGUCGUGGGGGAUAACUGCUCGAAAGAGCAGCUAAUACCGCAUACGACCUGAGGGUGAAAGCGGGGAUCGCAAGACCUCGCGCGAUUGGAGCGGCCGAUAUCAGAUUAGGUAGUUGGUGAGGUAAAGGCUCACCAAGCCGACGAUCUGUAGCUGGUCUGAGAGGACGACCAGCCACACUGGGACUGAGACACGGCCCAGACUCCUACGGGAGGCAGCAGUGGGGAAUUUUGGACAAUGGGCGCAAGCCUGAUCCAGCCAUGCCGCGUGCGGGAAGAAGGCCUUCGGGUUGUAAACCGCUUUUGUCAGGGAAGAAAAGGUUCUGGCUAAUACCUGGGACUCAUGACGGUACCUGAAGAAUAAGCACAGGCUAACUACGU
Molecule: ribosomal RNA, 475 nt
Filed under: uncultured bacterium
Lineage: Bacteria
Description: partial 16S ribosomal RNA
Rfam family: Bacterial small subunit ribosomal RNA
Source: RNAcentral